RNAcentral lists this ribosomal RNA (509 nucleotides) under uncultured bacterium. RNAcentral's name for it is "bacterial SSU rRNA". It matches the Rfam family "Bacterial small subunit ribosomal RNA", at positions 9 to 514 of the family's 1533-position model. The record is from RNAcentral.
GAGUUUGAUCCUGGCUCAGAUUGAACGCUGGCGGCAGGCCUAACACAUGCAAGUCGAGCGGUAGAGAGAAGCUUGCUUCUCUUGAGAGCGGCGGACGGGUGAGUAAUGCCUAGGAAUCUGCCUGGUAGUGGGGGAUAACGCUCGGAAACGGACGCUAAUACCGCAUACGUCCUACGGGAGAAAGCAGGGGACCUUCGGGCCUUGCGCUAUCAGAUGAGCCUAGGUCGGAUUAGCUAGUUGGUGAGGUAAUGGCUCACCAAGGCGACGAUCCGUAACUGGUCUGAGAGGAUGAUCAGUCACACUGGAACUGAGACACGGUCCAGACUCCUACGGGAGGCAGCAGUGGGGAAUAUUGGACAAUGGGCGAAAGCCUGAUCCAGCCAUGCCGCGUGUGUGAAGAAGGUCUUCGGAUUGUAAAGCACUUUAAGUUGGAGGAAGGGCAGUAAAUUAAUACUUUGCUGUUUUGACGUUACCGACAGAAUAAGCACCGGCUAACUCUGUGCCAGCCG